UUGAGAACAGUAACAGUCGUGCAGGAACUGAAGGUCUGCGACUGAAGAGAUGUCAGUCUGGGAAACGGGCGGCGGGAUUUCGCUGCCCGGGAGGAGGUUCCCUGUUCGCCACCUGCUGAGCUGCAUGCAAAGCUUGCAGAAUCAAGUGUUGGUUAUUCAAGAUGUUGUAUUCACUCAGAUUCACCAGCUUGUCAAAAUUCUCAUCUGAAUAUGCGAGGCAGAAAGUAGAGUAUGGAGUGUGGCAAGUGGAAACAUCAACAUCUCCUUCAGCCAUCUCAGCAUCACCACAACGUUCCACACCUAUGAUAGAGGCAGUACUUUAUUAUUAUUUUAAUAUCUGGGUCAUUUUACAAAAACAAAACUUUUUUUCUACUGAGAAAGUUCUUAGCAUUCAUUCAUGAUUAUUUAUAAAAUAAGAUAAAUCUA
Hemicordylus capensis (graceful crag lizard) is the source of this 426-nucleotide long non-coding RNA. RefSeq lists it as uncharacterized. The record is from RefSeq and is a predicted model, not a curated record. The transcript is spliced from 2 exons. Lineage: Eukaryota; Metazoa; Chordata; Lepidosauria; Squamata; Cordylidae.